UACGUAGGUGGCAAGCGUUGUCCGGAUUUACUGGGCGUAAAGAGCGCGCAGGCGGUCGUUUAAGUCGAAUGUGAAAGCCCCCGGCUCAACUGGGGAGGGUCAUUCGAUACUGAUCGACUUGAAGGCAGGAGAGGGAAGUGGAAUUCCGGGUGUAGUGGUGAAAUGCGUAGAUAUCCGGAGGAACACCAGUGGCGAAGGCGACACGCUGGGCCGUACCUGACACUGAUGCGCGACAGCAUGGGGAGCAAACAGG
RNAcentral lists this ribosomal RNA (253 nucleotides) under uncultured bacterium. Its description in RNAcentral is "partial 16S ribosomal RNA". It matches the Rfam family "Bacterial small subunit ribosomal RNA", at positions 524 to 776 of the family's 1533-position model. The record is from RNAcentral.